AACGAACGCUGGCGGCGUGCUUAACACAUGCAAGUCGAACGGGAUCCAGGGCUUCGGCUUUGGUGAGAGUGGCGAACGGGUGAGUAACACGUGGGUGACCUGCCCUCAGCUCUGGGAUAAGCCUGGGAAACCGGGUCUAAUACUGGAUAUGACUCCAUGACGCAUGUUGUGGGGUGGAAAGCCUUGUGCGGCUGAGGAUGGGGCCCGCGGCCUAUCAGCUUGUUGGUGGGGUGAUGGCCUACCAAGGCGA
This 250-nucleotide ribosomal RNA is filed under the name uncultured Actinomycetes bacterium. Its description in RNAcentral is "uncultured actinobacterium partial 16S ribosomal RNA". It matches the Rfam family "Bacterial small subunit ribosomal RNA", at positions 29 to 276 of the family's 1533-position model. The record is from RNAcentral. Lineage: Bacteria; Bacillati; Actinomycetota; Actinomycetes.